RNAcentral lists this transfer RNA (72 nucleotides) under Clostridioides difficile. RNAcentral describes it as "tRNA-Ser(cag)". Lineage: Bacteria; Bacillati; Bacillota; Clostridia; Peptostreptococcales; Peptostreptococcaceae. The record is from RNAcentral.
AAUCAAAUACCACAUCGGUAGUGGGGCUUUUUUCAGGCAGAAGCAAAGGCUGUUCCUCAUAGCUCUUGAUGU